GACGAACGCUGGCGGCGUGCUUAAUACAUGCAAGUCGAGCGAACAGACGAGGAGCUUGCGCGUUUCACGAUAGCCGCGGACGGGUGAGAAACGCGUGUAACACCUCCCUAUAAUAGGGGGAACUCUUCGAGAAUCCGGCUAUUAUCGCAGAUGAUAUCCUGCACCGCAUGGUUGAAUAGUAAGAUACGGCUUUGGUGUCAGUACUCGAUGGUUCCGGGCUGCUUUAGCUAGUCGGUGAGGUAACGGCUUACCAAGGCGACGAGGCGUAGCCGACUGGAGAGGGUGAUCGGCCACACGGGAGCUGAGACACGGUCCAGACUCCUACGGGAGGCAGCAGUAGGGAAUCUUCCGCAAUGGGCGAAAGCCUGACGGAGCAACGCCGCGUGAGUGAUGAAGGUCUUCGGAUCGUAAAACUCUGUUAUUAGGGAAGAACAAAUGUGUAAGUAACUAUGCACGUCUUGACGGUACCUAAUCAGAAAGCCACGGCUAACUACGUG
RNAcentral lists this ribosomal RNA (497 nucleotides) under uncultured bacterium. RNAcentral describes it as "partial 16S ribosomal RNA". It matches the Rfam family "Bacterial small subunit ribosomal RNA", at positions 28 to 507 of the family's 1533-position model. The record is from RNAcentral.